This 634-nucleotide long non-coding RNA is filed under the name Homo sapiens (human). Its description in RNAcentral is "long non-coding RNA NONHSAT151961.1". Lineage: Eukaryota; Metazoa; Chordata; Mammalia; Primates; Hominidae. The record is from RNAcentral.
UCCUUCUAGUAUACCAAAUACUACAUUCACCGAAUUCCAAGAAGCCGGGAGGUUCAGCAGUCCUGGCCCUCCACCGUUUUCACCACCUUGCACUCCAUGUGGCUCUCCUUUCCCCUAAUUCACAGGGUGAAGCCAGAUUUGGUGUUGUGUAACGGACCAGGAACAUGUGUUCCUAUCUGUGUAUCUGCCCUUCUCCUUGGGAUACUAGGAAUAAAGAAAGUGAUCAUUGUCUACGUUGAAAGCAUCUGCCGUGUAGAAACGUUAUCCAUGUCCGGAAAGAUUCUGUUUCAUCUCUCAGAUUACUUCAUUGUUCAGUGGCCGGCUCUGAAAGAAAAGUAUCCCAAAUCGGUGUACCUUGGGCGAAUUGUUUGACAAAUGGCAACUGACUUCUUUAGAAUUUUGCAGUUAACAGUAGUAUGUACUCAAAUUGGGGGGAAAAAAACCCUACAUGUUUCUUGUAAAGGCGUCUGACAGUCCUGAGAAUUAUUGAUGGUAAGGAAUAAAAAAUGUACAGAUGACUCAGUGAAGAAACUGAGGCUUCUCUUAUGAAACAAACAUUGAUAAACGUAACUACUAAAUGUUUAUGCCUCUGUAAACCAAAUUUCUUUUCUAGAUAAAAAUAUGUAUUACUACC